CCCACCCCGCAGAGGGAGCCUCUGCUGGUUUCACACCAGCCUGGGGCCUCGUUCUCUCCUCCCUUCCCAUCGCAGACCUGGCUGCCGGGGGCCCUCAGCUCAUCGGCCCGGGGCUGCCCUGCGUGGUCCCCACGCCAGCUUGCCUCCUUUCUUCUCCCAUCUCAGAAACUGAGACAGACCUGGCCUGACUUGGGAUGGGCGACCCUGCCUUCCUCUCUCAGGGCUCCCUCCAGGAGAGGAGCCAGCCUCCUCACCCCUCCUGAGACCCCCACAAGGGGAAGAAACGCCCCCAUGUCCCAGAAGGGAGCGGUGCCUCCGACCGGCUCCCCAGGAAGAGGGUCCAGGUCUGUGGCCGGGUUUCUUCUCCCUCUGUCUAAGGGCCUUGAAAAUCAAGGUUAGCGGUGGUUCUGGCCAAGGGCGCCAGCAAGGUUUCCCCAGGGCGCUGAGAGGGGUACCCAGCAGUGUCCAGUCUGCCUUUGUCAGCCCCGUUCAGGUGAGGCAGUGCCUCCCUGGAUGGACAGGCGUGCGCUGCAGACAGAGGCACAGACAGACAACACAUCUCCGGGCCCCACCCAGCCCUCUGCCAGGUAGACUGACUCGAGGUCUCUCCCCAUCCCUGUUCCACCGGGAUCAUCGGGAACCGGUUGAGCACAGGACACCAGGCGAGGCGGGAGCAAGGCAGGACGCACGGCAUGCGAGAGGAAGGGCAGAGUCGGUGAGCCCCGGGCUGGACGCCCGCCUCUGCCCCUCACUGCCACGCGACCUGAGGCCGGCAGGCUGCUUCGCUUCUCUCCGCUGAAAAGUCGGGAUAAAGAGUCCCCACCUCAAAGGUAGUUCAUUCGGUGCCUAUUCCUCGAGCACCUACUUUAUGCCGGAUACUGUCCUAGACACAGAGAAUGGAGCCUGCCACGGGCAGAGAGAGUCCCCGUGGAGCCCUGCGGUCUGGCACACAGGAAGUGCCCGAUAAAUAUGACCUGUCGUUAGCAUCCAGGGCCCUGCCCUGAAGAAGCCAAGGAGAGAUCCAGCGAUUCUGCUCCUAGCCGAAAGGUGGACACGCACCAACCGCCCAGCCACGUGGAUAAACAACACGUGGCCCAACCGCACAGUGGACUCUGAUUCAGCCGUGAAAAGAAUGAAACUCUCCUCUACAUUGCGCCAAGGAUGGACCUUGAAAACAUGUCCGCUCAGGGAGAGAAGCCAGACACGGAAGACCACGUGCCAUGUGGUUUCAUUUCUAUGAAACGUCCAGAACGAGCAGAAGCCAGGAUGGCGUGGACCACGACUGCCCGACUGGUGCGCCUGAGCCCGCGCCAGACCUUUGAGGGAAAAGACAGCAGCAGAGGAAGGCGAGGCUGCCCCCGUGAUGGGCCUCCCCCAGGACAUGCGUCACUCAAAUGCCCACGAUUCCCCAUCCCCGGUGCUGCUGGUCCCCUGCACAUGCACACACCAGGUCUCCUCCCAUGAGUGGGUCCUAACAGGUGCUGCCCAGCCCAUCCGUGUCUCUGCCAGGCUCCCAGGGAACUUCUGCAGCAGCCCAGCAGCUUGGGCGAUGAGCCGACCUCCGGAUGGAAGAGGAGGGUCUGAGCCAGUGACUCUCCACACCCAGGACCCUAGGGCUCCCCACCUUGCUGGGAAAGCCCAGGAUAACCAGAGCCAGGCCUUGGGGGCAGCGCCCCACCCCUCAGUGUGCCCCCACCCCCGCCUGCUCCUGAAUGCUGUGCACACGGAAACCCUUGCCUUGGCCCGGGAACUGUCAGGAGAUCGACAAACAAAAGCUGCUUCUUGACAGGGAGUCAUUUAUAUUUUAGCUUCGUUCCAUUAUCCUAACGAAUCCUUCAUCAGCAGAUGCAAUAUUAACAGCAGAAAAUCAGCUCAUUACAUCUGGGGGGAUUUCAUCAAGACGGCAAUCAUCUCUGCAGCUCCCCAAGCCUUCCAGGGGCCAGUGUGGCGGUUAUUUAUUUAUUUUGUUACUUAUUUAUUUCAUUUUUGGGGUUCUUGCCACGUAAUUGCACCGCAGCUCGGAUCUUUAAUAAAUAAUCUGCAGGCCCCGCACUGCAGACGGCUUUGCUCUCCGCCACAAGAGCCUGCGUUCGCCAAAAUAUUUACCAAUAUUUAAAAGUCAUUAGAAUCAGGAGCGAAGUGGGGCGGGGGUACUCAGUUCUUGUAGAAACGCCCGCGUGGGGGGGCUACGGCGCUGGCCUUCACUCCAGUCCUCCCACCGCGCCUCUCAGUCCGUGGGGAGCCGUCUGGACCGGGAGCUCCUGGAGGGCAGGCCCACCUUGCUCCUCAGGGCUCACUUAGUUUGAGCAUCUCUAGGGAUGACUGCGAGCUCCUCGUGGCUGCUGGAAAGGACCCAG
This is a long non-coding RNA of Artibeus jamaicensis (Jamaican fruit-eating bat), 2357 nucleotides long. RefSeq lists it as uncharacterized. Lineage: Eukaryota; Metazoa; Chordata; Mammalia; Chiroptera; Phyllostomidae. The record is from RefSeq and is a predicted model, not a curated record. The transcript is spliced from 3 exons.